RNAcentral lists this ribosomal RNA (775 nucleotides) under uncultured Neocallimastigales. Its description in RNAcentral is "partial large subunit ribosomal RNA". It matches the Rfam family "Eukaryotic large subunit ribosomal RNA", at positions 26 to 643 of the family's 3401-position model. The record is from RNAcentral. Lineage: Eukaryota; Fungi; Neocallimastigomycota; Neocallimastigomycetes; Neocallimastigales.
CGUCUAUAUACGUAUAGCAUAUCAAUAAGCGGAGGAAAAGAAACUAACUAGGAUUCCCUUAGUAACGGCGAGUGAAGCGGGAAGAGCUCAAAUUUGAAAUCUUCAAGGUUUUACCUUGACGAAUUGUAGUUUAAAGAAGUGUUUUCUGUUGGAAUUUUGGUAAAAGUUCUUUGGAAAAGGACAUCAUAGAGGGUGAGAAUCCCGUAUUUGACCAUUAUUUCCAGCUUUGUGAUACACUUUCAAAGAGUCGGAUUGUUUGGGAAUGCAGUCCAAAAUGGGUGGUAAAUUUCAUCUAAAGCUAAAUAUUGGCGAGAGACCGAUAGCGAACAAGUACCGUGAGGGAAAGAUGAAAAGAACUUUGAAAAGAGAGUUAAACAGUACGUGAAAUUGUCAAAAGGGAAGCGUUUGACACCAGUGUUGUUUUCUCGAAAAUCAAUUAAAAAGGCCGGAUUUUGUGUUGUAUUGACUUUAUCAGCUUUCUGCACUUUUUUCUUGUCUUUUUUAAUGCACUUUUCGGUUAACAAGUCAACAUCAAUUUCUUUUGUUGUAAAAGGGUCAUUGAGGAAGGUGGCUUUCUUUUCGGAGAGAGUGUUCAUAGCCUUGUGCCUCUGCAAUCGGAGAGAUUGAGGUCUGCAGCGUAGAUCCUUCGGGGUUAGAUACAUUUGUGCUAAGUUAUAGCCUUUCAUAGGACAACUUGUUGACUAUGAUCAGUCAUGUAGCUUACUCGCUUAUGCUAUUUUACCUACGCUUAGGAUGUUGACUGAUAUGUAGUCGU